CGGAGUCUUGCUUGGUCGCCCAGGCUGGAGUGCAGUGGCGCGAUCUUGGCUCACUGAAAGCUCUGCCUCCCGGGUUCACACCAUUCUCCUACCUCAGCCUCCCAAGUAGCUGGGACUACAGGCACCCGCCACCAUGCCCAGCUAAUUUUUUUGUAUUUUUAGUAGAGACAGGGUUUCACCAUGUUAGCCAGGAUGGUCUCGAUCUCCUGACCUCUUGAUCCACCUGCCUUGGCCUCCCAAAGUGCUGGGAUUACAGGCGUGAGCCACCAUGCCUGGCCUAUUCUUCUUUUAAGGACCUCCUUUUUUCUACACACGAAAUGGAUGCCCAGGUGCACUGCUCACAGCAUUUUCUGUUGAGAGGAUUUCUCCUGCCAGUCAUUUAGGGCCAAUCCUGAGUGGGGCUGUAAGGAAGCUGCAGUCCAUUUUUGGCUUGUACCACAUGCCAUGCUGAUCCAUCUGUGAGCCACACCUGGCCUUUUUCCUCCCCAAUCAACUGGUCAUAAGGAAUCACCCAACCUCAUGCAGCCAGAGGCAUGAGUUCAGGAGAGGCAAUGAUACAAAAACAGUGGUGAGUUCAGUGGAGGUUUGGAGAUUUGGGCCAUUGGCCCAUGCAGCUUUCUGAUGCUCUGACUUUGUUUGGGCCUCCCUGGAUGUACUACUUCCAUCUCAAAAUAUGGUGCUGCGGGUCUCUCCAGAUAUAUGAUUUGGUCUAACAGAACCAAGCUCAUAACAGGCAGUCUGCCUGAAGGAUCACUUCAUGUGUCAUGGACAGUUGCUUCAUCUCUCUAGGGUCUAGAAACUUUCUAUAAAUUGUUUCUCAAACACAUAAUUCCCUGCUAUAGAUGGCAUUGACCUCACUCCUAAACUCUAAGGGUCUGUAUUGUGAUUCUUUUAUUUGAGAUUCCAUAAACAUCAUGUGGCAACUUUUGACUCCACAGACACCUCUAAUUCCAUAGGGUCUGUUGGAUUAUAAAGCCCAAUUAUCAGCAUAGCUUGAACCUCAGCCUGGACCUGCUAUAGAGCUCUUUCCAGUUCUGGGUACUCCAGAGUUACAGCUGGUGGGAGAGUGGUAUUCCCCAGUGUGGAAUAUGCUGCUUUCAGACCUUGAGGCCCACCAGGCAUUGUGCUUCCUUCUUAGUGGUAGGAGGUGCAAGAUGCAACAAUCUGUGCUUUACUUUGAAGAUGUUCCAUUGUGCUCCAGAUCACUGGACCCUUAAAAACUUACCUAUUGUGGCAGGUCUCUGAAUCUUUGUUGGGUUUAUCUCCCACCCUCUAGAACAUGUGUCUCAUGAAGGCCUUCAACUCACUUGCCACAUCUUGUUCAUCUGUCUGAUGAAUGUGAAGUCAUUAAUAUAGUUGGCCAAUGUGAUAUUUGCAGGGAUGUCUAGAUUGUCCAGGUCUCUUCAGCCUGGCUUGCUGCCACCAAAGACUGUGCUUCCACAAAUUCUCCAACAAAUCUCCGCCUUACAACACUCAUUGACUUCCUGACCUUUGUUGCAGCUCAAGCAGCUGGUCCUCUGCCUUGUCUCUGUAACUUAUCCUUUGCUUUGCAUCUCAGUUCUGCCAAUGGUGCCUCUGUCUGACUCAGUUUCCCAGCCUUCUUCUUUGGGGCCAGCCUGUCUGCAGACAGCACAAGCCCUGCUUCCCUUUCUUCCCUGUGAUGAAAUAGACCUGGUGCCCAUGCAGGAGGCCCAGCGUGGCCCACUGUUGCUGUGAAUGGGGAUAGGUCCUCCUGAUUUUGGGGUUCAGUAUUAGGAAGCUCCCUCACCUCCAGACACCAGCCAAAUCCUUCAAUAGGAGCAUUAUCAAUAAGAAAGAUGAUGUUUUGCCUCUGCUGCCUGAUUCCUGUCUGUCAAUUGAAUUCAAA
This 1867-nucleotide long non-coding RNA is filed under the name Homo sapiens (human). RNAcentral describes it as "HSALNT0134425". The record is from RNAcentral. Lineage: Eukaryota; Metazoa; Chordata; Mammalia; Primates; Hominidae.